Molecule: ribosomal RNA, 253 nt
Filed under: uncultured bacterium
Lineage: Bacteria
Description: partial 16S ribosomal RNA
Rfam family: Bacterial small subunit ribosomal RNA
Source: RNAcentral
UACAGAGGUCCCAAGCGUUGUUCGGAUUCACUGGGCGUAAAGGGUGCGUAGGUGGUUAGGCAAGUCGGAUGUGAAAGCUCGGAGCUCAACUCCGAAAUGGCAUUGGAAACUACCUUGCUCGAGGGUUGGAGGGGGGACUGGAAUGCUUGGUGUAGCAGUGAAAUGCGUAGAUAUCAAGCGGAACACCAGUGGCGAAGGCGAGUCCCUGGACAACUCCUGACACUGAGGCACGAAAGCUAGGGGAGCAAACAGG